RNAcentral lists this ribosomal RNA (160 nucleotides) under Marasmius tantulus. Its description in RNAcentral is "partial large subunit ribosomal RNA". It matches the Rfam family "Eukaryotic large subunit ribosomal RNA", at positions 1 to 159 of the family's 3401-position model. Lineage: Eukaryota; Fungi; Basidiomycota; Agaricomycetes; Agaricales; Marasmiaceae. The record is from RNAcentral.
GACCUCAAAUCAGGUAGGACUACCCGCUGAACUUAAGCAUAUCAAUAAGCGGAGGAAAAGAAACUAACAAGGAUUCCCCUAGUAACUGCGAGUGAAGAGGGAAAAGCUCAAAUUUAAAAUCUGGCAGCCUCAGGUUGUCCGAGUUGUAAUUUAGAGAAGU